Carlito syrichta (Philippine tarsier) is the source of this 519-nucleotide non-coding RNA. Lineage: Eukaryota; Metazoa; Chordata; Mammalia; Primates; Tarsiidae. The record is from the annotation of a RefSeq genome assembly.
AUGGAGAGUGCAGUCACACUUCUCUUCAGAGAAGGUGGCAGGAAGCCAACACUGAAGAUGCUGUUGCUCCUGCUGCUUCUGGGGCCCAGCAGCAGGCUUCGGGCUCUCGUCUCUCAACAUCCAAGCAGGGUCAUCUGUAAGAGUGGAUCCUCUGUGGAGAUCGAGUGCCGUUCUGUGAACUUCCAGGCCACAACUAUGGUUUGGUAUCGUCAGUUUCCGAAACAGAGCUUCAUGCUGAUGGCGACUUCUAAUGAAGGCUCUGGCGUCACAUACGAACAAGGUUUUACCAAGGCCAAGUUUCCCAUCAACCACCCAAACCUAACCUUUUCAAGUCUGACGGUGACAAGUGCACACCCUGAAGACAGCAGCUUCUACAUUUGUGGGGCUAGGGACACAGCGCUGGGAGGAGACCAGAGACCUCAGCAAGAACCUUUGUGGCACCCAGCCUCUCCCACCCUAUCAGAUGCACAGAGCCCUCUGGAAGGAAGGGUGGGGAGUGAAAAACCACAACUUUCCUGA